Ipomoea triloba (trilobed morning glory) is the source of this 1073-nucleotide long non-coding RNA. RefSeq lists it as uncharacterized. The transcript is spliced from 2 exons. The record is from RefSeq and is a predicted model, not a curated record. Lineage: Eukaryota; Viridiplantae; Streptophyta; Magnoliopsida; Solanales; Convolvulaceae.
GGGGAAAAAAUUAAAGUGAGUGUGAAUAUAAUAGGUGUAAGAAAAGGGCGGGGGAGACCCAUCUAUCUAUCCAUCCACUCCAACUUCCAAUUCCCUCUAUAAAUUGAUGUUGAUGCCAUGGAGAUGGAGAAGAGAGGCGAGGGCGCAUUUAUGAAUACUGGUACUGAUAUGAUGAUAAUAGAUGAGAUGUGGAAAGUGUCACGAGCCUUAUAAAUUCCAUCAUUCUCUUCUCCGACCAAACCAUGCAUGGCUGGGCUGGUCUUGUCUGGUCUGGUCUCUUCUUCUCCUUCAAUUCAUUCAUAUACAUCUUUCUCUACCUGCAAAACUUUCUCAGAUGUGUGUUUGUCAGUCCACUGUAUUGUACUGUUUGUUGGUUUUGAGAGGCUGAAGCUGCCAGCAUGAUCUGGUAAGAUAGAACAAAAUCUUGUUUUUCUUUUCCCCCCACUUUUUCUUUUAUGGGGUUUUCAUCUUUCUGCAGAAAUAUAAUUCACCAAUCUUUGGGGGUUUUCUGUUCUUCAUUCUCCCCCCUUCUGUUUCUUUUUCUUUUUUUUUUUUUAUUUUAUUUUUUGAGAUUUUUUGGUUGGUGGGUAUUAUGGGUUCUGUAGUUUAAGAUUGGAGAGGGGGGAAUUGAAUCUAUCAUAGUGAAUUUCAUUAGGUUUUUUGAGAUUUGGUUCCAUCAGGUCAUCUAGCAGCUUCAAUCACUCACCAACAAUAUCCAAAAUAAAUUCUUAAAAUUAAAUAAAUUGUGGAAUUGAAGCUUGAUUUCAAUUCGCCUCAUUCAGUCUUCCCUUGUGGUGGUCAUCAUAUCAGAUCAGUGUUGGGCAGAUUCCUGGAAGGUCAAGUUGAACAUCUUGACAUCAAAACGUGGCGUUUGGCUGUUGGCUACUAAGCAAGUAUAAGAAAAUAAAAUUGUGUUUUCGCUAUUAGUAAUAAGCAUUUGAUUAUUAUAUUUUAAAUAUUUUAUCCUCCUUUAUUUAGAGAUUGAUAUUGUCAUUAAUUAUUAUAAUUGCAAUUAGGAUUUAAUGUUUAUUGACUCUUCGUGCUUCAAUAGGUUGAGAAAGUAGUUACAAACA